AUACCUAAUCUAAAAAUAAGAAUUUCGACUUUAAUCUAAAUGUUAAGAGAUGCACAUGUCUAAUAAACAUCACAAUAAGGAAAUAUUGAAUGGCAAACAUUGAUUAUUUAUAGAUCAACAAUCAACUUUAAAUAAAAUAGAAAUAACUAAAUUUAUAGAUCAACAAACGAGUGACUAAUAUGGAUAACGGGUGCAACUCAAUCAACGCCGCCGCGAGCCAGCAUCUGGUCAUUGAGUCAGCGGGCAGCCAGCCAGGCCCAACGAACUAAAACGUAAAACUCGAAAAGUACAACAACAACAACAACGAAAAAUACAGAAAUGAAAUGAAACUCUUUGCAACGCCACCUGCCACCUGCCCAAAAGUUGCCAGAGCUUUGACUUUAUUUUGGUCCAAAGGUGACGCCAGCAGUCUCUCAGUCUCUCAGACUCUGAGUCUCUCAGAGUCUCCUGCCUGUGCCGUAUUCAAGUGGCGCACAACUGAGGAAGCUGCAUGGAAGCUGCCUGGAAGCUGGAGCGUACUUUCAAGUGGGUAUCAAAGAUCAACGAUCGUAAGAGGGCAAACCGAAGAGUCCACCAAGUCAAGUGUUGCCGUUCUUUUCUUUUCUUUUCUUUUCUUUUUUUUCGCCAUGGCAAUAUUAUUACAAACGGGUCUAAUGGUAACAAACAGUGCACGAUCAUUAAAGUUGCAUCUUCACGCAAUUCUGAGGGCAAGCGAGGCCAAAGGAAAUCCUAUUCAGAAGAUCGCACAGAACCUCUGCAAAGCUACUCAGUGAUCUAACACGAUCUGCAACCUGCAAACUAUCGAUUGAUUUGAUUUGAUUUGAUCGUAGUUUCUUUAAGCCAAUUUCUAACACUUUAACCAAAGGAAACGAACUUCCUAAAGUGGAGCAAGCAAUAUGUUACAACAAUAAAUGAAAUCUGUCGCUUUUA
Drosophila nasuta is the source of this 930-nucleotide long non-coding RNA. RefSeq lists it as uncharacterized. NCBI's taxonomy places the organism in Eukaryota, Metazoa, Arthropoda, Insecta, Diptera, Drosophilidae. The transcript is spliced from 2 exons. The record is from RefSeq and is a predicted model, not a curated record.